AAUAAAGUGCCUGAUAAAAGGGUUAUUCUGAUAGAAUACAAUAUACAUAUAAUAUGUCUUUAUUA
Molecule: transfer RNA, 65 nt
Filed under: Marilia sp. XG-2021
Lineage: Eukaryota; Metazoa; Arthropoda; Insecta; Trichoptera; Odontoceridae
Description: tRNA-Ile
Source: RNAcentral